Molecule: long non-coding RNA, 2579 nt
Organism: Oryctolagus cuniculus (rabbit)
Lineage: Eukaryota; Metazoa; Chordata; Mammalia; Lagomorpha; Leporidae
Source: RefSeq, a predicted model, not a curated record
AGGGUGGGCAGGAAGCACAGGUAGCCUGGGGGAUGCUGCCAGGUGUCCAGCCAAGAGGAUGAGUCGAAUCCACAAACAGGAAACCAGUCAUGGUGUCAGAACCUCCAAGGCUUGGGGACAUGUUGGGAUGUAGGACAGGAAACGGGUUAAGGCAAGCGGCUCGGGAUGAAUGACCGAGGUAUUCUGGAGACCUCCUUCUCUGUGGAGUCUGUGCAGUGGGCCUGAUAGGCAAAGAAAAGGAAAGUCGGGAGCUCGGGGGAGGGGCAGGAAGAGGAUGGCGCUGGGGCAGGACACGUGCCCCAUCCCAGGGGGCAGCGGCUGCCCAGACCCUGCUCUCCUCUGCCGUGCGGCUGUGUGGCUACGCGGCCCCAGUGCCUCUGGAGCUUCCCAUUUUGCGAGAAAAGCAGGAAAUCCAGAUUUUUAUGUUCACUCUCCUGAAUUCUAAAUGCUGGCAACUAACUCAAAAUUUUCGCAAACACCCUGCAGGCCAAACACAACACAUUUGCAGGCUGAGCGGGCCCACAAGCUGCCAACUCUUGGCUUCCUGCUUAAAGGAAACCGGCAGAACCCGGAGUGUGUGAAAAACAAAAACAAAGCCCGUGAACGUCGUCCACGGUCCCCCCUGCUUUCCAGCACACACAAGAUAUUCCUGGAAAAGGCAUUUUGCAACUACUGCUAACAAAGACACGUUGGAUUUGACCUUCAGAGAAGCUAAGGGCUCUGGGUGCUGGAGCUGCCCCUGGUGGUCCCCCAAACCCACGGCCGUCUCCUCAAAGCGGGGCCUCCAGCUUCAUCGACAGGAUCUCAUUUUCUUGCCUCUCUCCAUCAGUCCCAUAGCAGGGCUCUUCAUAGUAAGGCGACCAGCCAAUAUCCACUGAGUGCUAACCACAUGCUGAUUGCUCCAGGAAACAUUCUACAUCCACCAGCUCAGGGCCUGUGGAUGGUAUGCAAGGUUGUUCUAGCUCAAUGCCUAAGAAUGGGAGGAACUAUGAGGAAAUCCCACGUGAACGUCAGCAUGACAUUGCUAUUAAUAAAUGCUUAUGAAUCCAGGUCAGUGGUGUCACUUUCAGGGCUUAGCAGCAUCUCCACUGAGAACCGGGAGUAAGUCUGGUUUCUGGAUGCUGUGUCCCAAGUACGCAACAAGUGAUCCCUUCACGUGUUCAUUCAAUCAGUUGGUUUACUGAGCACUUACUCUGCACCGACCACAUCAGGCACACUGUCCUCGCCUCUGGAAAUAAACCUGAGGCUAAGCCACAGUCCCAACCCUCAAGGAGUAUGCAGAAUGUGAGCACCUAUCUCUCAACCAGUGACCAACAGGCUGGAAGACCAACCUAUGCAAAGGCCGAUAUCUACCUGUUGUCCACUUAGCCUUGCCCCAGAGGUGAGGGCUGUUACAAUGCGCUGGAGGCCCCAUGGGCUGGUCACUCACCAGCUGAAUGGGCUGCCAUCUCUGAAAGUCACCUGGGUCCAGAAAUGUUCUCCCAAGGAAACCAUAGGUUAAAAUAUCUGGGACCAGAGGCUGGCACUGUGGUGUAAUGGGUGAGGCCUCCACCUGCAGUGCCAGCAUCCAAUAUGAGCACUGGUUUGAGUCCCAGCACUCCACUUCAGAUCCAGCUCCGCUAUGGAUGGGAAAGUAGUAGAGGACGGCCCAAGUCCUUGGGCCCCUGAACCCGUGUGGGAGACCAGGAAGAAGCUCCUGGGUUUGGAUCAGCACAGCUCCAGCUGUUGAGGCCAUUUGGGGAAGUGAACCAAUGGUGGAAGACUUUUCUCUCUCUCUCUCUCACUCACUCUCUCACUCUCUCACUCUCUAACUCUGCCUUUUUAAUAAAACAAAACAAAGCAAAGCAAAACAAAAACACCAGAGACUGACCAAAUGGGAGAUAAGAAGGCAGUAUGAAAUCACAGCAGGAUGAAAAGAUAGAAUGUUUCUUAAAGGACCCUGUGCAAACUUAUCAAAAGGUAUAAAACCCUCAGAUCACCUCUGCCAAUAGCUUCUUCUUCAGAAAAACCCCUAUCCCUGCACUGUGGGAGUUUUCUCCGUACUCCUUUCAAUAAACAUUACUUAUUCUUCAUUCAAGAAAAGGAAGGAAAGAAGGAAGAAGAAAGAAAAAGACAGGGAGAGAGAAAGAAGAUGUUUCCCAGCCAACACUCUGGCGUUGUUAUCAGGAAACUGACAUGGAGUGAUGUCAAAGAUGAUGGCCAGUGGGGGCAGGUGUCGCGAUGCCACGGGUGAAGCCACUGCUUGUGACACCUGCAUGCCUGGUUCAAGCAUCAGCUUUCCCGCUUCUGAUCUAGUUUCCUGCUAAUGCACUGUGGGAGGCAGCAGGUGAUGACUCAAGUGCUUGGGCCCCUGUCACCCAUGUGGGAGACCAGAUGGAGCUCCUGGCUCCUGGCUUCAGCCUGGCCCAGCCUUGGCUGUUGUGGCUAUUUGGAGGGUGAAAGAGCAAAUAGGGAGGUCUUUUUCCAUCUGUUUCUCUGUCUUUCUGUCUUUGUAUCUCUCUGCCUUUCAAAUAAAAUUAAAAUAAAUCAAUAAAAAUUAAAAAUAAAAGUGUGCAGUGCAUAUUCAUGGUUAAACUUGU